This 81-nucleotide transfer RNA is filed under the name Clostridioides difficile. Its description in RNAcentral is "tRNA-???(tcat)". It matches the Rfam family "tRNA". Rfam says of the family: Transfer RNA (tRNA) molecules are approximately 80 nucleotides in length. Their secondary structure includes four short double-helical elements and three loops (D, anti-codon, and T loops). Further hydrogen bonds mediate the characteristic L-shaped molecular structure. tRNAs have two regions of fundamental functional importance: the anti-codon, which is responsible for specific mRNA codon recognition, and the 3' end, to which the tRNAs corresponding amino acid is attached (by aminoacyl-tRNA synthetases). tRNAs cope with the degeneracy of the genetic code in two manners: having more than one tRNA (with a specific anti-codon) for a particular amino acid; and 'wobble' base-pairing, i.e. permitting non-standard base-pairing at the 3rd anti-codon position. Lineage: Bacteria; Bacillati; Bacillota; Clostridia; Peptostreptococcales; Peptostreptococcaceae. The record is from RNAcentral.
GGCGGUAAUAGCUUAGUUGGCUAGAGCGUUUCGGUUUCAUACCCGAAAGGGUCAUAGGUUCGACUCCUAUUACCGCUACCA